Molecule: ribosomal RNA, 497 nt
Filed under: uncultured bacterium
Lineage: Bacteria
Description: partial 16S ribosomal RNA
Rfam family: Bacterial small subunit ribosomal RNA
Source: RNAcentral
GAUGAACGCUGGCGGCGUGCCUAAUACAUGCAAGUCGAGCGAACGGACGAGAAGCUUGCUUCUCUGAUGUUAGCGGCGGACGGGUGAGUAACACGUGGAUAACCUACCUAUAAGACUGGGAUAACUUCGGGAAACCGGAGCUAAUACCGGAUAAUAUUUUGAACCGCAUGGUUCAAAAGUGAAAGACGGUCUUGCUGUCACUUAUAGAUGGAUCCGCGCUGCAUUAGCUAGUUGGUAAGGUAACGGCUUACCAAGGCAACGAUGCAUAGCCGACCUGAGAGGGUGAUCGGCCACACUGGAACUGAGACACGGUCCAGACUCCUACGGGAGGCAGCAGUAGGGAAUCUUCCGCAAUGGGCGAAAGCCUGACGGAGCAACGCCGCGUGAGUGAUGAGGGUCUUCGGAUCGUAAAACUCUGUUAUUAGGGAAGAACAUAUGUGUAAGUAACUGUGCACAUCUUGACGGUACCUAAUCAGAAAGCCACGGCUAACUGCGUG